This 218-nucleotide unclassified non-coding RNA is filed under the name Favolus subtropicus. RNAcentral's name for it is "partial internal transcribed spacer 2". The record is from RNAcentral. Lineage: Eukaryota; Fungi; Basidiomycota; Agaricomycetes; Polyporales; Polyporaceae.
AAUUCUCAACCUACAAGUCCUUUUGGGACUUUGUUAGGCUUGGAUAUUGGAGGAUUGUAUUGCCGGCUCGAACGAGUUGGCUCCUCUUAAAUGCAUUAGCUCAGUCCCUUGCGGAUCGGCUCCCAGUGUGAUAAGUUCUUUACGCUGCGACCGUGAAGCGUCUUACGACGAAGCUUCUAAUGGUCUCUUGAAAGUGAGACAAACAUUAACACUUUGAC